This 1282-nucleotide ribosomal RNA is filed under the name uncultured bacterium. Its description in RNAcentral is "bacterial SSU rRNA". It matches the Rfam family "Bacterial small subunit ribosomal RNA", at positions 64 to 1394 of the family's 1533-position model. The record is from RNAcentral.
GAACGAACCUUCGGGUUAGUGGCGGACGGGUGAGUAACGCGUGGGAAUCUGCCCUCAGGAGGGGGAUAACGGUUGGAAACGACCGCUAAUACCCCAUAUGCCGAGAGGUGAAACGAAAUUCGCCUGAGGAUGAGCCCGCGUCUGAUUAGCUAGUUGGUGGGGUAAAGGCCUACCAAGGCAUCGAUCAGUAGCUGGUCUGAGAGGAUGAUCAGCCACACUGGGACUGAGACACGGCCCAGACUCCUACGGGAGGCAGCAGUGGGGAAUUUUCCGCAAUGGGCGCAAGCCUGACGGAGCAACGCCGCGUGAGGGAUGAAGGCCUCUGGGCUGUAAACCUCUUUUCUCAAGGAAGAAGAACUGACGGUACUUGAGGAAUAAGCCACGGCUAAUUCCGUGCCAGCAGCCGCGGUAAUACGGGAGUGGCAAGCGUUAUCCGGAAUUAUUGGGCGUAAAGCGUCCGCAGGCGGCCUUGAAAGUCUGUCGUUAAAGCGUGGAGCUUAACUCCAUUUCGGCGGUGGAAACUACAAGGCUUGAGUGUGGUAGGGGCAGAGGGAAUUCCCGGUGUAGCGGUGAAAUGCGUAGAUAUCGGGAAGAACACCAGUGGCGAAGGCGCUCUGCUGGGCCAUAACUGACGCUCAUGGACGAAAGCUAGGGGAGCGAAAGAGAUUACAUACCCCUGUAGUCCUAGCCGUAAACGAUGAACACUAGGUGUCGGGGGAAUCGACCCCCUCGGUGUCGUAGCUAACGCGCUAAGUGUUCCGCCUGGGGAGUACGCACGCAAGUGUGAAACUCAAAGGAAUUGACGGGGGCCCGCCCAAGCGGUGGAGUAUGUGGUUUAAUUCGAUGCAACGCGAAGAACCUUACCAGGGUUUGACAUCCUGCGAAUCCCUCGGAAACUUGGGAGUGCCUUCGGGAGCGCAGAGGCAGGUGGUGCAUGGCUGUCGUCAGCUCGUGUCGUGAGAUGUUGGGUUAAGUCCCGCAACGAGCGCAACCCACGUCUUUAGUUGCCAGCAUUUAGUUGGGCACUCUAGAGAGACCGCCGGUGAUAAACCGGAGGAAGGUGUGGAUGACGUCAAGUCAUCAUGCCCCUUACAUCCUGGGCUACACACGUACUACAAUGCUACGGACAAAGGGUUGCAAACUCGCGAGAGCUAGCUAAUCCCAUAAACCGUGGCUCAGUUCAGAUCGUAGGCUGCAACUCGCCUACGUGAAGGAGGAAUCGCUAGUAAUCGCAGGUCAGCAUACUGCGGUGAAUACAAAGCCCCCCCUUGCACACACCGCC